UGGGGAAUAUUGGACAAUGGGGGCAACCCUGAUCCAGCAAUGCCGCGUGUGUGAAGAAGGCCUGCGGGUUGUAAAGCACUUUCGGUUGGGAGGAAAAGGUGGUGGCUAAUAUCUGCCAUUCUUGACGUUACCUUCAGAAGAAGCACCGGCUAACUCCGUG
Molecule: ribosomal RNA, 160 nt
Filed under: uncultured bacterium
Lineage: Bacteria
Description: partial 16S rRNA
Rfam family: Bacterial small subunit ribosomal RNA
Source: RNAcentral